This 489-nucleotide ribosomal RNA is filed under the name uncultured bacterium. RNAcentral describes it as "partial 16S ribosomal RNA". It matches the Rfam family "Bacterial small subunit ribosomal RNA", at positions 30 to 506 of the family's 1533-position model. The record is from RNAcentral.
AUUGAACGCUGGCGGCAGGCCUAACACAUGCAAGUCGAACGGUAACAGGAAGCAGCUUGCUGCUUCGCUGACGAGUGGCGAACGGGUGAGUAAUGUCUGGGAAGCUGCCUGAUGGAGGGGGAUAACUACUGGAAACGGUAGCUAAUACCGCAUAAUGUCGCAAGACCAAAGAGGGGGACCUUCGGGCCUCUUGCCAUCGGAUGUGCCCAGAUGGGAUUAGCUUGUUGGUGGGGUAACGGCUCACCAAGGCGACGAUCCCUAGCUGGUCUGAGAGGAUGACCAGCCACACUGGAACUGAGACACGGUCCAGACUCCUACGGGAGGCAGCAGUGGGGAAUAUUGCACAAUGGGCGCAAGCCUGAUGCAGCCAUGCCGCGUGUAUGAAGAAGGUCUUCGGGUUGUAAAGUACUUUCAGCGGGGAGGAAGGGAGUAAAGUUAAUACCUUUGCUCAUUGACGUUACCCGCAGAAGAAGCACCGGCUAACUCCGU